RNAcentral lists this unclassified non-coding RNA (327 nucleotides) under soil metagenome. RNAcentral's name for it is "partial contains 5.8S ribosomal RNA, internal transcribed spacer 2, and large subunit ribosomal RNA". The stretch from base 1 to 120 matches the Rfam family "5.8S ribosomal RNA", at positions 35 to 154 of the family's 154-position model. The record is from RNAcentral.
GAUGAAGAACGUAGCGAAAUGCGAUAAGUAAUGUGAAUUGCAGAAUUCAGUGAAUCAUCGAAUCUUUGAACGCACAUUGCGCCCCUUGGUAUUCCGAGGGGCAUGCCUGUUCGAGCGCCAUUUUGACCACUCCCGCUUGCGGGGUCUUGGGCCUUCGCCUCUGGGCGGGCCUUAAAAUCAGUGGCGGUGCCGUCCGGCUCUAAGCGUAGUAAAUCUCCUCGCUAUAGGGUUCCGGAGGGAUGCUGGCCAACAACCCCCAACUUUUAAGGUUGACCUCGGAUCAGGUAGGGAUACCCGCUGAACUUAAGCAUAUCAAUAAGCGGAGGA